CUAAACUGAGGGAGGUACGUCGAAACUGAUUGGCUCGAGGAACGUAGAGGAAGGCGGAACUCUCGGAGUAGCGGUGAAAUGCGUAGAGACCGAGAGGUACCCCGAUGGUGAAGACAGCCUUCUGGGCGUUUCCUGACGCUGAAGCGCUAAGGCCAGGGGAGCGAAGGGGAUUAGAUACCCCCGUAGUCCUGGCUUCAAACGAUGUGGGCUUGGUGUCGGCUCCCGACAGAGAGUCGUUGCCGGAGUUAACGCGUUAAGCCCACCGCCUGGGGACUACGUCCGCAAGGAUGAAACUCAAGGGAAUUGACGGGGGCCCACACAACCGGUGGAGCACGUGGUUUAAUUCGAUGAUAAGCGAAGAACCUUACCAGGGCUUGACCUAGCGGUGGUAGGACCCUGAAAGGGGAACGACCUCAAGCUUUGCUUGAGGAGCC
This 434-nucleotide ribosomal RNA is filed under the name uncultured bacterium. Its description in RNAcentral is "bacterial SSU rRNA". It matches the Rfam family "Bacterial small subunit ribosomal RNA", at positions 608 to 1042 of the family's 1533-position model. The record is from RNAcentral.